UUACUUACCUGGCAGGGAGAUACCAUGAUCAGAAAGGUGGUUUUCCCAGGCUGAGGCUCAUCUAUUGCACUGUGGGAGUGCUGAGUCCUGUGAUUUCCCCAAAUGUGGGAAACACAACUGCAUACCCAGUUUGGGUCUCUGACCAUGAAAUCCUAAU
Small nuclear RNA from Pelodiscus sinensis (Chinese soft-shelled turtle), 157 nucleotides. Its record names the gene U1. It matches the Rfam family "U1 spliceosomal RNA". From Rfam's summary of the family: U1 is a small nuclear RNA (snRNA) component of the spliceosome (involved in pre-mRNA splicing). The record is from Ensembl. Lineage: Eukaryota; Metazoa; Chordata; Testudines; Trionychidae.